AACCGAGCAUUUGCUCAUGCUCAAGCUGAUUCGAGCAAAGUAAAGUCUCUGAGCAUUUACUCGAAACCGUAUGAAUAAAACGAUACUUUACUCAGAGUAAGUUCGAAAUUCGAACAUAGCAUUUACUCUGUCAAAAUGUUGUUUUUGUUUUGGUUAUCCUAUUUUUGCAAGUUGUUAAAAGUAGUCCAGCGUCUCGGGUCCAACGGUGGAAACCGCAAAUAGAAGUCCCAUAUCGGAUUUUACCCGUUUUUGUAGUCUGUUGCCGCUUGCUGAUGGAGGGACACACAAGGGUGAAACUCAACUAGCAUCACGUCUGCCGGAAAUAGGUGCACAAGUACAAACCUGAGUUUCACCAAAUGAAAACCUCGAUCUGAGUCCGCUACGGGGUCGGACGGCAUCAGAAUCCAAUCCGCCAACAACUUCAACAGCUACCACCUCAACUUUAAAACAAAGACGCUAGAUUUCGUUCUGCAAAAUUAAUUCGAGCUCAAGUCACCAAGCCACAAAGGAAAAACAGAAUAAACUGAGAUCAACACGCCACAUACGACCGGAUUAGCAACCAGUAGAGGAGAAGCCAUAGGACAAAUCAUUGUUCAAACGGAUAUGCUGUUGGUGUGAAAACCUACGGCCACCCUCUGAAACAUGGUCUCAAGCAGGGUGGACAAAGAGAGCACGCAUUCCCCCUCGCCUCUGUCAAGGACAAAAUAAAUAAACUAUGCUACUUA
Long non-coding RNA from Aedes aegypti (yellow fever mosquito), 725 nucleotides. RefSeq lists it as uncharacterized. NCBI's taxonomy places the organism in Eukaryota, Metazoa, Arthropoda, Insecta, Diptera, Culicidae. The record is from RefSeq and is a predicted model, not a curated record. The transcript has 2 exons.